RNAcentral lists this ribosomal RNA (277 nucleotides) under uncultured Eubacteriales bacterium. RNAcentral describes it as "uncultured Clostridiales bacterium partial 16S ribosomal RNA". It matches the Rfam family "Bacterial small subunit ribosomal RNA", at positions 69 to 339 of the family's 1533-position model. Lineage: Bacteria; Bacillati; Bacillota; Clostridia; Eubacteriales. The record is from RNAcentral.
UGAAGUUUUCGGAUGGAAGAAGUUUGGCUUAGUGGCGGACGGGUGAGUAACACGUGAGCAACCUGCCCUUCAGAGGGGGAUAACAGUUGGAAACGACUGCUAAUACCGCAUGACGUUGCGGGGCCGCAUGGCCCUGCAACCAAAGGAGCAAUCCGCUGAGGGAUGGGCUCGCGUCCGAUUAGCCAGUUGGCGGGGUAACGGCCCACCAAAGCGACGAUCGGUAGCCGGACUGAGAGGUUGAUCGGCCACAUUGGGACUGAGACACGGCCCAGACUCC